UACGGGGGGGGCAAGCGUUGUUCGGAAUUACUGGGCGUAAAGGGCUCGUAGGUGGCCAACUAAGUCGGACGUGAAAUCCCUCGGCUUAACCGGGGAACUGCGUCCGAUACUGGUUGGCUUGAGUUUGGGAGAGGGAUGCGGAAUUCCAGGUGUAGCGGUGAAAUGCGUAGAUAUCUGGAGGAAUACCGGUGGCGAAGGCGGCAUCCUGGACCGACAUUGACGCUGAGGAGCGAAAGCCAGGGGAGCAAACGGG
RNAcentral lists this ribosomal RNA (253 nucleotides) under uncultured bacterium. Its description in RNAcentral is "partial 16S ribosomal RNA". It matches the Rfam family "Bacterial small subunit ribosomal RNA", at positions 524 to 776 of the family's 1533-position model. The record is from RNAcentral.